GAUGAACGCGGCUACAGGCUUAACACAUGCAAGUCGAGGGGAAACGACGGGGAAGCUUGCUUCCCCGGGCGUCGACCGGCGCACGGGUGAGUAACGCGUAUCCAACCUGCCUCUGAUGAGGGAUAACCCGUCGAAAGUCGGCCUAAUACCUCAUGGCAUCGUCUGCGGGCAUCCAACGACGAUUAAAGAUUUCAUCGGUCAGGGAUGGGGAUGCGUCUGAUUAGCUUGUGGCGGGGUAACGGCCCACCAAGGCUACGAUCAGUAGGGGUUCUGAGAGGAAGGUCCCCCACAUUGGAACUGAGACACGGUCCAAACUCCUACGGGAGGCAGCAGUGAGGAAUAUUGGUCAAUGGGCGAGAGCCUGAACCAGCCAAGUAGCGUGCAGGAUGACGGCCCUAUGGGUUGUAAACUGCUUUUAUGCGGGGAUAAAGUGAGGGACGUGUCCCUCAUUGCAGGUACCGCAUGAAUAAGACCGCAUUC
Molecule: ribosomal RNA, 480 nt
Filed under: Segatella oris
Lineage: Bacteria; Pseudomonadati; Bacteroidota; Bacteroidia; Bacteroidales; Prevotellaceae
Description: bacterial SSU rRNA
Rfam family: Bacterial small subunit ribosomal RNA
Source: RNAcentral